UCCGAGUUGACCCCGGCAGUCUCCCAUGAGUCCCCACCAUUACGUGCUGGCAACAUGGAACGAGGGUUGCGCUCGUUGCGGGACUUAACCCAACAUCUCACGACACGAGCUGACGACAGCCAUGCAGCACCUGUCACCGACCAAUUGAAGAGCUCCGUCUCCGGAGCCCCGAUCGGGAAGUCAAGGGCUGGUAAGGUUCUUCGCGUUGCCUCGAAUUAAACCACACGCUCCGCUGCUUGUGCGGGCCCCCGUCAAUUCCUUUGAGUUUCAGCCUUGCGGCCGUACUCCCCAGGCGGGGCACUUAAUGCGUUAGCUUCGACACCGAGGGGGUCGUUCCCUCCGGCAUCUAGUGCCCGUCGUUUACGGCGUGGACUAC
This 376-nucleotide unclassified non-coding RNA is filed under the name uncultured bacterium. RNAcentral's name for it is "contains 16S-23S intergenic spacer region". The record is from RNAcentral.